This is a non-coding RNA of Cinara cedri, 515 nucleotides long. The record is from the annotation of a GenBank genome assembly. Lineage: Eukaryota; Metazoa; Arthropoda; Insecta; Hemiptera; Aphididae.
UUAUUAUGUUUUACUCUUCUGUCUCUAUGGAUGAGGAUAUCAAUUUUCAUUUAUAAAAAAAAAAAUUAUGUACGUUCAAUAAAUAAUAUAAAUGCAAUUUACAGUAAUAAUAUACCUAAUCGUAAAAUAGAGAUAACAUAUUAGAAUAGUUAGUAGCUUCUACGGCUUUAUGACAAAAUAUCUGUUUACUUUUAUACGUUUAAAUAGUGUUUAAAUAAUGCAAAGAUAGUAAAUAAUAAAUUACCAAAAACCAAAUAAAUGUUGAGAUAUUAAUUUUAUAUUAAGUCCUUUAUUAGUUGACGUAAACAGUUGAUAGAAGUCAAUUUUUUUACAUUUUACACAGAUUAUCCCACUCGCCGUCAAAAACAUCAAUGGUACAAUGAAAAAAUUUAAAAAUACAAUUUCCAAAUUCACGAUAAUAAAAACCUAGAUAAAGCUGGCUCGAGUAUCAAGACUAUCAACUAUAUUUUAUCAAUAAAUAAAUGGUGACAGAAAACCUAAAAUAUACUACAAGU